This 425-nucleotide ribosomal RNA is filed under the name uncultured bacterium. RNAcentral's name for it is "bacterial SSU rRNA". It matches the Rfam family "Bacterial small subunit ribosomal RNA", at positions 356 to 773 of the family's 1533-position model. The record is from RNAcentral.
AGGGAAUUUUCCACAAUGGACGAAAGUCUGAUGGAGCAACGCCGCGUGAACGAUGAAGGUCUUCGGAUUGUAAAGUUCUGUUGUCAGGGACGAACAAGUACCGUUCGAACAGGGCGGUACCUUGACGGUACCUGACGAGAAAGCCACGGCUAACUACGUGCCAGCAGCCGCGGUAAUACGUAGGUGGCAAGCGUUGUCCGGAUUUAUCGGGCGUAAAGCGCGCGCAGGCGGCUAUGUAAGUCUGGUGUUAAAGCCCGGGGCUCAACCCCGGUUCGCAUCGGAAACUGCAGAGCUUGAGUGCAGAAGAGGAAAGCGGUAUUCCACGUGUAGCGGUGAAAUGCGUAGAGAUGUGGAGGAACACCAGUGGCGAAGGCGGCUUUCUGGUCUGUAACUGACGCUGAGGCGCGAAAGCGUGGGGAGCAAAC